AAUAGAGGCGCGGCCGACAAGAGUAGCGCGCGGGAGCCCCUGCCAGGGCGAGGAUCGCACGCGAAAGGGGAAGCCGCCGAAAUGCGAAAGCAACGGCAGGGCAAUCGCGUUGGGCAAGGGGAAAACAUCCGCUUGACUGUCAUGGUACAAGGCCAUGGAGCGCUAUUC
This 168-nucleotide non-coding RNA is filed under the name bovine gut metagenome. Its description in RNAcentral is "Lysine riboswitch". It matches the Rfam family "Lysine riboswitch aptamer". From Rfam's summary of the family: Riboswitches are metabolite binding domains within certain messenger RNAs that serve as precision sensors for their corresponding targets. Allosteric rearrangement of mRNA structure is mediated by ligand binding, and this results in modulation of gene expression. The record is from RNAcentral.